UACGGAGGUGGCAAGCGUUGCUCGGAAUUACUGGGCGUAAAGCGUGCGUAGACGGUCUCGUAAGUCGGGUGUGAAAGCCCCGGGCUCAACCUGGGAAUUGCAUUCGAAACUGCGAGGCUAGGGUGCGGAAGAGGGAAGCGGAAUUUCGGGUGUAGCGGUGAAAUGCGUAGAUAUCCGAAGGAACAUCAGUGGCGAAAGCGGCUUCCUGGUCCAGCACCGACGUUCAGGCACGAAAGCGUGGGGAGCAAACAGG
RNAcentral lists this ribosomal RNA (253 nucleotides) under uncultured bacterium. RNAcentral's name for it is "partial 16S ribosomal RNA". It matches the Rfam family "Bacterial small subunit ribosomal RNA", at positions 524 to 776 of the family's 1533-position model. The record is from RNAcentral.